Molecule: non-coding RNA, 71 nt
Filed under: Pseudomonas aeruginosa
Lineage: Bacteria; Pseudomonadati; Pseudomonadota; Gammaproteobacteria; Pseudomonadales; Pseudomonadaceae
Also listed under: 5 other names
Description: partial 16S ribosomal RNA
Rfam family: Bacterial small subunit ribosomal RNA
Source: RNAcentral
GAACUGAAGAGUUUGAUCAUGGCUCAGAUUGAACGCUGGCGGCAGGCCUAACACAUGCAAGUCGAGCGGAU